RNAcentral lists this ribosomal RNA (280 nucleotides) under uncultured Staphylococcus sp. Its description in RNAcentral is "partial 16S ribosomal RNA". It matches the Rfam family "Bacterial small subunit ribosomal RNA", at positions 81 to 355 of the family's 1533-position model. Lineage: Bacteria; Bacillati; Bacillota; Bacilli; Caryophanales; Staphylococcaceae. The record is from RNAcentral.
CUCCUUUGACGUUAGCGGCGGACGGGUGAGUAACACGUGGGUAACCUACCUAUAAGACUGGGAUAACUUCGGGAAACCGGAGCUAAUACCGGAUAAUAUUUCGAACCGCAUGGUUCGAUAGUGAAAGGUGGUUUUGCUAUCACUUAUAGAUGGACCCGCGCCGUAUUAGCUAGUUGGUAAGGUAACGGCUUACCAAGGCGACGAUACGUAGCCGACCUGAGAGGGUGAUCGGCCACACUGGAACUGAGACACGGUCCAGACUCCUACGGGAGCAGCAGCU